This 524-nucleotide ribosomal RNA is filed under the name Salmonella enterica. Its description in RNAcentral is "bacterial SSU rRNA". It matches the Rfam family "Bacterial small subunit ribosomal RNA", at positions 998 to 1522 of the family's 1533-position model. Lineage: Bacteria; Pseudomonadati; Pseudomonadota; Gammaproteobacteria; Enterobacterales; Enterobacteriaceae. RNAcentral also lists the same sequence under 2 other names. The record is from RNAcentral.
UUCCAGAGAUGGAUUGGUGCCUUCGGGAACUGUGAGACAGGUGCUGCAUGGCUGUCGUCAGCUCGUGUUGUGAAAUGUUGGGUUAAGUCCCGCAACGAGCGCAACCCUUAUCCUUUGUUGCCAGCGAUUAGGUCGGGAACUCAAAGGAGACUGCCAGUGAUAAACUGGAGGAAGGUGGGGAUGACGUCAAGUCAUCAUGGCCCUUACGACCAGGGCUACACACGUGCUACAAUGGCGCAUACAAAGAGAAGCGACCUCGCGAGAGCAAGCGGACCUCAUAAAGUGCGUCGUAGUCCGGAUUGGAGUCUGCAACUCGACUCCAUGAAGUCGGAAUCGCUAGUAAUCGUGGAUCAGAAUGCCACGGUGAAUACGUUCCCGGGCCUUGUACACACCGCCCGUCACACCAUGGGAGUGGGUUGCAAAAGAAGUAGGUAGCUUAACCUUCGGGAGGGCGCUUACCACUUUGUGAUUCAUGACUGGGGUGAAGUCGUAACAAGGUAACCGUAGGGGAACCUGCGGUUGGA